GAUGAACGCUGGCGGCGUGCCUAAUACAUGCAAGUCGAGCGAACAGACGAGGAGCUUGCUCCUCUGACGUUAGCGGCGGACGGGUGAGUAACACGUGGAUAACCUACCUAUAAGACUGGGAUAACUUCGGGAAACCGGAGCUAAUACCGGAUAAAAUGUUGAACGGCAUGGUUCAACAGUGAAAGACGGUCUUGCUGUCACUUAUAGAUGGAUCCGCGCCGCAUUAGCUAGUUGGUAAGGUAACGGCUUACCAAGGCAACGAUGCGUAGCCGACCUGAGAGGGUGAUCGGCCACACUGGAACUGAGACACGGUCCAGACUCCUACGGGAGGCAGCAGUAGGGAAUCUUCCGCAAUGGGCGAAAGCCUGACGGAGCAACGCCGCGUGAGUGAAGAAGGUCUUCGGAUCGUAAAACUCUGUUAUUAGGGAAGAACAAAUGUGUAAGUAACUAUGCACGUCUUGACGGUACCUAAUCAGAAAGCCACGGCUAACUACGUG
This 497-nucleotide ribosomal RNA is filed under the name uncultured bacterium. Its description in RNAcentral is "partial 16S ribosomal RNA". It matches the Rfam family "Bacterial small subunit ribosomal RNA", at positions 28 to 507 of the family's 1533-position model. The record is from RNAcentral.